Long non-coding RNA from Octopus sinensis (East Asian common octopus), 902 nucleotides. RefSeq lists it as uncharacterized. The transcript is spliced from 3 exons. The record is from RefSeq and is a predicted model, not a curated record. NCBI's taxonomy places the organism in Eukaryota, Metazoa, Mollusca, Cephalopoda, Octopoda, Octopodidae.
GAUCUGAUCUGGCAAGGUUUCUAUGGCCGGAUGCCCUUCCUAACUCCAAUUACUCUGAGUGUAGUGGGUGUUUUUUUACAUGCCACCAGCAUGGGUGCUGUUGAACUAACACUGGCAUCGGCCUUGAUUACGGUCUCACUUGGCUUGACAGGUCUACGCAACAACUUCGAUGUUGUGAUUGUUUAUUUUUCAGAAUGAUAUUGUUGGAUAGGUGUGAGGGGCCAAAUCUGGCUAGUUUGGGCAUAAAUCAGGUAGAAUAUUUGGAAGAGAGAGAGAAGACUAUUAUAAUGAAGUGUCAAACACCAGAGAUUAAUUUAGACUCAUUCCGAUAAGUAGAUUAUCUUCCUCAUCUAGGUGGCUCUCCAUGCAGACAAUUCUAUGCGGACUACCCACAACAUUGUUGUGUGUCAUGUCAUGUCAUGAAUAUUAAGUGGUUCGAGUUAAAGAAUUAUUUGCGAUUACAUGGACAGUAUGUGACUGGAAAGAAGGCGGAUUUGGUUGAAAGGUUAAAAGGUAUUAAAAUUCUCAUGAUAAAGAAUGUCAAUGAAUUAAAAUCAACAGACGAGAAGUGUACUUCAGACCGGAAUAAGCAGAAACUUGUAUCUCCUCUCGGUGAAGUUUUACCCGAUCCUAAUGUGCUGAAAUCAGAUUGGACUAAAGAUCUUCAUAAGUUGCUGAAUUUUACGGAUAAUCACGUUCACAAUUGCCUCGUGCUUCGGAUGAAGGCAAAGCGACAGUUAAGGAGUGGCAUAUUUUACCAUGACAGACACGUCCACAACAUUGAAUAACACGAUGUUACCGAAAACAACUCUCACUGCAUUGUCCGGUGUUUGGUAAUCCCGUCAAAACCAACAUCUAACUAAAAGAACAAUCCUGACCACAGAGUGUGGUUAAUUAUUUCA